AGUUAUUCUAAACAAAGCCUGAAUUCUUGCAGUAGAACCCAAGAAAUUUUGCUGGAUUGGAAUCUCAACUUUGUAAAAAGUAAACAUCUUUGAUGUUUACAAAUUUUCUUCAUAAACAUACAGAAGCAAUCAGAACUGUUUGUGAUUAUAUGAAUCUCCACUUCAAUGGAUACACAUAAGUUCCUGUCACAAUGACAGCAAGUUUUCUAAGGAUUCUUCUCCUUGCUCUGUCCUUCAUUGCUUUAAUGCCACAGAAAUCAGAGGGUCAAUUGGGCCUGUGGAAAGGGAGGUGCAGAUUGCAGGAAGAUACAAAGGAACCAACCCUGUUAUCCGCCAAGCACAGCAAGGGAUCAUGCCUCUUAUGCCUUCGAUAACUCUUAUCAGAAGUUUAAGCAUGAAGGAGCAACUUGUUACUUCAAUGCUGCUGCUCUCGUCACUGAUCUUGAUCCAACUGAGGAAAGCAACGUUGGUGUCACCUUCUUUGAAUCACCCAAUGAUGCUCGUCACAAGACAAGAUAUUUAUUCAGACAGGAUUUAACUCUUCUUAGAUUACAAGUAUUUUUUUUUUUUUUUUAAUGACAUUUUUUAAUAGCAUUGAUUGCUCUUCUAUUUCCUUCCUUCCAUACAUGGUGAAAAUGCAUUAAAUAGAAUUGACUCUCCUUAAAUUAAGAGAUACAUUAUCUGUAAGCAAACUACUAGAGA
Molecule: long non-coding RNA, 702 nt
Organism: Populus trichocarpa (black cottonwood)
Lineage: Eukaryota; Viridiplantae; Streptophyta; Magnoliopsida; Malpighiales; Salicaceae
Exons: 3
Source: RefSeq, a predicted model, not a curated record